This 253-nucleotide ribosomal RNA is filed under the name uncultured bacterium. RNAcentral describes it as "partial 16S ribosomal RNA". It matches the Rfam family "Bacterial small subunit ribosomal RNA", at positions 524 to 776 of the family's 1533-position model. The record is from RNAcentral.
UACGAAGGGUGCAAGCGUUGCUCGGAAUCAUUGGGCGUAAAGAGCGUGUAGGCGGCCCGAUAAGUCCGCCGUGAAAGUCCAGGGCUCAACCCUGGAAUGCCGGUGGAAACUGUCGGGCUGGAGUCCGGAAGAGGCGAGUGGAAUUCCUGGUGUAGCGGUGAAAUGCGCAGAUAUCAGGAGGAACACCAAUGGCGAAGGCAGCUCGCUGGGACGGUACUGACGCUGAGACGCGAAAGCGUGGGGAGCAAACAGG